CUACUAUCCAGCGAAACCA
RNAcentral lists this small nuclear RNA (19 nucleotides) under Arabidopsis thaliana (thale cress). Its description in RNAcentral is "snRNA_13783". Lineage: Eukaryota; Viridiplantae; Streptophyta; Magnoliopsida; Brassicales; Brassicaceae. The record is from RNAcentral.